UAGACCAGGUCAUAUUCACUGAGGGGUUUAAUAGACCAGGUCAUAUCCACUGAGUGGUUUAAUAGACCAGGUCAUAUUCACUGAGGGGUUUAAUAGACCAGGUCAUAUUCACUGAGGGGUUUAAUAGACCAGGUCAUAUUCAUAUUCACUGAGGGGUUUAAUAGACCAGGUCAUAUCCACUGAGGGGUUUAAUAGACCAGGUCAUAUUCAUAUUCACUGAGGGGUUUAAUAGACCAGGUCAUAUUCACUGAGGGGUUUAAUAGACCAGGUCAUAUUCACUGAGGGGUUUAAUAGACCAGGUCAUAUUCACUGAGGGGUUUAAUAGACCAGGUCAUAUUCACUGAGUGGUUUAAUAGACCAGGUCAUAUUCACUGAGGGGUUUAAUAGACCAGGUCAUAUUCACUGAGGGGUUUAAUAGACCAGGUCAUAUUCACUGAGGGGUUUAAUAGACCAGGUCAUAUUCACUGAGGGGUUUAAUAGACCAGGUCAUAUUCACUGAGGGGUUUAAUAGACCAGGUCAUAUUCACUGAGUGGUUUAAUAGACCAGGUCAUAUUCAUAUCCACUGAGGGGUUUAAUAGACCAGGUCAUAUCCACUGAGGGGUUUAAUAGACCAGGUCAUAUUCACUGAGGGGUUUAAUAGACCAGGUCAUAUUCACUGAGGGGUUUAAUAGACCAGGUCAUAUUCACUGAGGGGUUUAAUAGACCAGGUCAUAUUCACUGAGGGGUUUAAUAGACCAGGUCAUAUUCACUGAGUGGUUUAAUAGACCAGGUCAUAUUCACUGAGGGGUUUAAUAGACCAGGUCAUAUUCAUAUUCACUGAGUGGUUUAAUAGACCAGGUCAUAUUCACUGAGUGGUUUAAUAGACCAGGUCAUAUUCAUAUUCACUGAGGGGUUUAAUAGACCAGGUCAUAUUCACUGAGGGGUUUAAUAGACCAGGUCAUAUUCAUAUUCACUGAGUGGUUUAAUAGACCAGGUCAUAUUCACUGAGGGGUUUAAUAGACCAGGUCAUAUUCACUGAGGGGUUUAAUAGACCAGGUCAUAUUCACUGAGGGGUUUAAUAGACCAGGUCAUAUUCACUGAGUGGUUUAAUAGACCAGGUCAUAUUCACUGAGGGGUUUAAUAGACCAGGUCAUAUUCACUGAGUGGUUUAAUAGACCAGGUCAUAUUCACUGAGGGGUUUAAUAGACCAGGUCAUAUUCACUGAGGGGUUUAAUAGACCAGGUCAUAUUCAUAUUCACUGAGGGGUUUAAUAGACCAGGUCAUAUUCACUGAGGGGUUUAAUAGACCAGGUCAUAUUCACUGAGGGGUUUAAUAGACCAGGUCAUAUCCACUGAGGGGUUUAAUAGACCAGGUCAUAUUCAUAUCCACUGAGGGGUUUAAUAGACCAGGUCAUAUUCACUGAGGGGUUUAAUAGACCAGGUCAUAUUCACUGAGGGGUUUAAUAGACCAGGUCAUAUUCACUGAGUGGUUUAAUAGACCAGGUCAUAUUCAUAUUCACUGAGGGGUUUAAUAGACCAGGUCAUAUUCACUGAGGGGUUUAAUAGACCAGGUCAUAUUCAUAUUCACUGAGGGGUUUAAUAGACCAGGUCAUAUUCACUGAGGGGGUUUAAUAGACCAGGUCAUAUUCACUGAGGGGUUUAAUAGACCAGGUCAUAUUCACUGAGGGGGUUUAAUAGACCAGGUCAUAUUCACUGAGGGGUUUAAUAGACCAGGUCAUAUUCACUGAGGGGUUUAAUAGACCAGGUCAUAUUCACUGAGGGGUUUAAUAGACCAGGUCAUAUCCACUGAGGGGUUUAAUAGACCAGGUCAUAUUCACUGAGGGGUUUAAUAGACCAGGUCAUAUUCAUAUUCACUGAGUGGUUUA
Long non-coding RNA from Oncorhynchus keta (chum salmon), 1865 nucleotides. RefSeq lists it as uncharacterized. The record is from RefSeq and is a predicted model, not a curated record. Lineage: Eukaryota; Metazoa; Chordata; Actinopteri; Salmoniformes; Salmonidae. The transcript is spliced from 5 exons.